GACGAACGCUGGCGGCGUGCCUAAUACAUGCAAGUCGAGCGCUGAAGGUUGGUGCUUGUUCCAACUGGAUGAGCAGCGAACGGGUGAGUAACGCGUGGGGAAUCUGCCUUUGAGCGGGGGACAACAUCGGGAAACGAAUGCUAAUACCGCAUAAAAACUUUAAACACAAGUUUUAAGAUUGAAAGAUGGUAUUGCUUCACUCAAAGAUGAUCUCGCGUUGUAUUAGCUAGUUGGUGAGGGAAAGGCUCACCAAGGGGAUGAUACAUAGCCGGCCUGGGAGGGUGGUUGGCCACCUUGGGACUGAGACACGGCCCAAGCUCCUUAGGGAGGCAGCAGUAGGGAAACUUCGGGAAUGGGGGGAAGUCUGGCCGGAGAACGCCGGGGUGGUGAAGAAGGUUUUCGGGUCCUAAAACUCUUUUGGUAGGGGAGAAAGUUAUUGGGAGUGGAAAGCUCAUCAAGUGACGGUAACUACCCAGAAAGCGACGGCUAACUACGUG
This 497-nucleotide ribosomal RNA is filed under the name uncultured bacterium. RNAcentral's name for it is "partial 16S ribosomal RNA". It matches the Rfam family "Bacterial small subunit ribosomal RNA", at positions 28 to 507 of the family's 1533-position model. The record is from RNAcentral.